UGCCUUCUCGUGGACCAUGUUUUGAGGCAGGAGGUGGAAUUGAAACCUAAACUGGAUUAAGAGAAAUAGUCAUCUACAUGUUCAUUUCCCUUGUUUGGAACCCUUGGGCUUGGUGUUGAUGUUUAAUCUGCAUGAGAAGCUUCCGACCGUUUUGUGGGCUUCCCUGGAAGUAAUUUUUUUCUACUGAGGCUGGUAGCCCAGUGGUUCGUUCUUAUCUUAUAGGUGGACGAACUAUGUGGCAGGUUUACCUUCCUGGUUUUGCUUGUAACUAUCUAUUGGGUUCAAUGGGAUUCCUGACCAUGACGGCCAAGGAGAAAUAUCAACUGAUAAUUGAAGGAUUUACCUUUUCUAUUUCCAUUUGGAUAAUCAUUAGAAAUUAUUGUUUGGUAAAGAUGAAUGGAUAGCGACACUUUGUUUAGCACCAAUAGCUUUUUUAUCUGAGAUGUGCAGUGUCAGUGGUUGAUUCUUGUGCAGAUUCUUUUAUGAAUCAUUCUAUCUGCACGAAUGUAACUGGAUUUGAUUGGAAAGGAGUUAGGAGCAGAGACAGAAUGUAAGGAUGCAUAAGAGAUUUUUUAUGGACAUGGAAUUUCCCUGAAUGAUAUCACGUAAUUUUGAAGAUGCUAAAUGGAUGCAAAGGCAUUUUGAAGUGUUCUAACUCUUACACGUGAAAUAUGAAGAAAUAGUCUUGGAUUUUGUAAAAUUAGAUAAAUUCAGAGUCUCUCAGAUAGGAUGAGUACGAUUUAACAGUUUCACUUCACUACAGUUAUGUUGCCGCUGACUGCAAAUUUUGAGACUAAUGCGGUUUGUUGUGUUUCUUUCUUUCUGGAGAUCUGGACUUGUACUGGGUUGUAUAGUGUUGUCGGCCCUAUUCCUUGAGAAAACUAACCAAGUCGUAUAUAUUCUACUUGUGGCUGUCCAGGUAAGUAAAGUAUUACAUGUUCCAAGCUGUCAUGAUGGUUAGUAAAUGAGUGUCUUAUUCAUAUUUUUUUGGGUAAUAACGUACAUCUCAGCCAGUGGACUUGAUAAACAGGUACCAAAGACACGUAUCUAACAACAGAAAUUGUAGAAUUUGAGUUUGUUUGACUAGUUUUUUCUUGAGCCUUGCAGGUGAGACAUGACGUAGGCGGAGGCACGGGAAACGUGGUUGAUUCAUUGAAAGGUUCAAUUAACAGAAUGAUUUGCAAGAAACAUGGAGGACUACGACCUAAUCCCAUUAGUAUUAACAGUAAGCAUGUGCAUUGAGGAAAAAGAACGAAGUUAGGAUGAUGGUUUUAUCCCGACUGCCCAUGGAGUUGCCGGAUAUCACAUAGUUAUAGGAAUAAAAAAUUUGUUUGUUUUUUAAAAAAAUUCCUUUCUUGUAUAUACGUAUGUUUUCUUCAUGAAAUAAUAUAUACCGAUUUAGUAAAA
Non-coding RNA from Carica papaya (papaya), 1407 nucleotides. Lineage: Eukaryota; Viridiplantae; Streptophyta; Magnoliopsida; Brassicales; Caricaceae. The record is from RefSeq and is a predicted model, not a curated record.